This 448-nucleotide ribosomal RNA is filed under the name uncultured bacterium. RNAcentral's name for it is "bacterial SSU rRNA". It matches the Rfam family "Bacterial small subunit ribosomal RNA", at positions 330 to 793 of the family's 1533-position model. The record is from RNAcentral.
UCCAGACUCCUACGGGAGGCAGCAGUGGGGGAUAUUGCACAAUGGGGGAAACCCUGAUGCAGCGACGCCGCGUGAGUGAAGAAGUAUUUCGGUAUGUAAAGCUCUAUCAGCAGGGAAGAAAAAAGACGGUACCUGACUAAGAAGCCCCGGCUAACUACGUGCCAGCAGCCGCGGUAAUACGUAGGGGGCAAGCGUUAUCCGGAUUUACUGGGUGUAAAGGGAGCGUAGACGGCAAUACAAGUCGGAAGUGAAAUACCCGGGCGCAACCUGGGAACUGCUUUGGAAACUGUAUGGCUGGAGUGCUGGAGAGGUAAGCGGAAUUCCUAGUGUAGCGGUGAAAUGCGUAGAUAUUAGGAGGAACACCAGUGGCGAAGGCGGCUUACUGGACAGUAACUGACGUUGAGGCUCGAAAGCGUGGGGAGCAAACAGGAUUAGAUACCCCCGUAAG